Molecule: long non-coding RNA, 789 nt
Organism: Gossypium arboreum
Lineage: Eukaryota; Viridiplantae; Streptophyta; Magnoliopsida; Malvales; Malvaceae
Exons: 2
Source: RefSeq, a predicted model, not a curated record
UAAAGCGCAAUCAAUCGGGAUGCGGUCUUUCUUGAGCCCGAAAUAUUUUGAAUGUGGCUACAAUUGGCAGCUACUAAAGCGAUAAAAAAGACCGAGCACACGUGUGCUGGACACAUGUUGGAGACAUUUUGGGGAAAAAGACAAGCUCUGUAGCUGUCUUUGACCCUAAACCUGGAGGGUUGAGCGUCUUUUUUCAAAAUGGGCCUGCAUGCAAAAUCAAAAUAGAGUGAGAUUGGGACCUUUCCAUUGUGUAAUUGGGGGAUAAGGCGAUGUCCUUAGCCCCAUGCGGGGGUGAAAGUGAAAGGACUGGAAUGUGGGUCAUUCAUGCUUUUUUCCCAAUCUCAGUUCGGUGAAUGAACAUUGCCAACACCUACCAUCCUGCAUGUGCAUGACGCUCUCCCCAAUCAACCCAAACCGGUAGAGGGACAUGAUUUCAGAUUUGUUACUUUCCCAUUUUCUUUCAUGCUCUAAACAUGCUUGCAACCUUGGAAGGCCAUCAUUUCCAUAUAAUACCUACUCAUCAGAAGAUGAUAACAUGACCUUGAGAAGCAAUCAGCUGUACUGUGGAUGGUGACAUUAGGCUUUGGCCCAACUAUUACUUUUGGAAUCAAAACCAUGUGAGUUUCUGGUUGUUUAUUCUCCAAGAUAGAGUUUUUCUUCUUCGAUUCGGCUUUUUCAUUGUCCAAACAACUUGAAUUCAAUCUUGCUCCAUUUCUCUUAUCAUUUGGUAUCAGAUUUGGGCUCUUUUAGUGGUUUCCUUAUGCUAAACAAAUUAUUGUUGAUCGAAAA